Molecule: ribosomal RNA, 937 nt
Filed under: Enterobacter hormaechei subsp. steigerwaltii
Lineage: Bacteria; Pseudomonadati; Pseudomonadota; Gammaproteobacteria; Enterobacterales; Enterobacteriaceae
Description: partial 23S ribosomal RNA
Rfam family: Bacterial large subunit ribosomal RNA
Source: RNAcentral
UGGGGUGACUGCGUACCUUUUGUAUAAUGGGUCAGCGACUUAUAUUCUGUAGCAAGGUUAACCGUAUAGGGGAGCCGAAGGGAAACCGAGUCUUAACUGGGCGUUAAGUUGCAGGGUAUAGACCCGAAACCCGGUGAUCUAGCCAUGGGCAGGUUGAAGGUUGGGUAACACUAACUGGAGGACCGAACCGACUAAUGUUGAAAAAUUAGCGGAUGACCUGUGGCUGGGGGUGAAAGGCCAAUCAAACCGGGAGAUAGCUGGUUCUCCCCGAAAGCUAUUUAGGUAGCGCCUCGUGAACUCAUCUUCGGGGGUAGAGCACUGUUUCGGCUAGGGGGCCAUCCCGGCUUACCAACCCGAUGCAAACUACGAAUACCGAAGAAUGUUAUCACGGGAGACACACGGCGGGUGCUAACGUCCGUCGUGAAGAGGGAAACAACCCAGACCGCCAGCUAAGGUCCCAAAGUCAUGGUUAAGUGGGAAACGAUGUGGGAAGGCACAGACAGCCAGGAUGUUGGCUUAGAAGCAGCCAUCAUUUAAAGAAAGCGUAAUAGCUCACUGGUCGAGUCGGCCUGCGCGGAAGAUGUAACGGGGCUAAACCAUGCACCGAAGCUGCGGCAGCGACACUAUGUGUUGUUGGGUAGGGGAGCGUUCUGUAAGCCGUUGAAGGUGUGCUGUGAGGCAUGCUGGAGGUAUCAGAAGUGCGAAUGCUGACAUAAGUAACGAUAAAGCGGGUGAAAAGCCCGCUCGCCGGAAGACCAAGGGUUCCUGUCCAACGUUAAUCGGGGCAGGGUGAGUCGACCCCUAAGGCGAGGCCGAAAGGCGUAGUCGAUGGGAAACAGGUUAAUAUUCCUGUACUUGGUGUUACUGCGAAGGGGGGACGGAGAAGGCUAUGUCAGCCGGGCGACGGUUGUCCCGGUUUAAGCAUGUAGGCGGAGGU